This 483-nucleotide ribosomal RNA is filed under the name uncultured bacterium. RNAcentral's name for it is "partial 16S ribosomal RNA". It matches the Rfam family "Bacterial small subunit ribosomal RNA", at positions 27 to 507 of the family's 1533-position model. The record is from RNAcentral.
GAUUGAACGCUGGCGGCAUGCCUUACACAUGCAAGUCGAACGGUAACAGGUCUUCGGAUGCUGACGAGUGGCGAACGGGUGAGUAAUACAUCGGAACGUGCCCGAUCGUGGGGGAUAGCGAGGCGAAAGCUUUGCUAAUACCGCAUACGAUCUACGGAUGAAAGCGGGGGAUCUUCGGACCUCGCGCGGACGGAGCGGCCGAUGGCAGAUUAGGUAGUUGGUGGGAUAAAAGCUUACCAAGCCGACGAUCUGUAGCUGGUCUGAGAGGAUGAUCAGCCACACUGGAACUGAGACACGGCCCAGACUCCUACGGGAGGCAGCAGUGGGGAAUUUUGGACAAUGGGCGAAAGCCUGAUCCAGCCAUGCCGCGUGCAGGAUGAAGGCCUUUGGGUUGUAAACUGCUUUUGUACGGAACGAAAAGCCUCUUUCUAAUAAAGAGGGGUCAUGACGGUACCGGAAGAAUAAGCACCGGCUAACUACGUG